RNAcentral lists this ribosomal RNA (253 nucleotides) under uncultured bacterium. RNAcentral's name for it is "partial 16S ribosomal RNA". It matches the Rfam family "Bacterial small subunit ribosomal RNA", at positions 524 to 776 of the family's 1533-position model. The record is from RNAcentral.
UACGGAGGGUGCAAGCGUUAUCCGGAUUCACUGGGCGUAAAGGGCGCGUAGGCGGCCUGGUAAGUAGGAGGUGAAAUCCUGCGGCUUAACCGCAGGGCUGCCUUCUAAACUGUCAGGCUCGAGCACAGUAGAGGCAGGUGGAAUUCCCGGUGUAGCGGUGGAAUGCGUAGAGAUCGGGAAGAACAUCAGUGGCGAAGGCGGCCUGCUGGGCUGUUGCUGACGCUGAGGCGCGACAGCGUGGGGAGCAAACAGG